RNAcentral lists this ribosomal RNA (467 nucleotides) under uncultured bacterium. RNAcentral's name for it is "partial 16S ribosomal RNA". It matches the Rfam family "Bacterial small subunit ribosomal RNA", at positions 28 to 507 of the family's 1533-position model. The record is from RNAcentral.
GAUGAACGCCGGCGGCGUGCUUAACACAUGCAAGUCGAACGGAAAGGCCCAAGCUUGCUUGGGUACUCGAGUGGCGAACGGGUGAGUAACACGUGGGUGAUCUGCCCUGCACUUCGGGAUAAGCCUGGGAAACUGGGUCUAAUACCGGAUAGGACCACUUCUUGGAUGUUGUGGUGGAAAGUUUUUUCGGUGUGGGAUGAGCUCGCGGCCUAUCAGCUUGUUGGUGGGGUAAUGGCCUACCAAGGCGUCGACGGGUAGCCGGCCUGAGAGGGUGUACGGCCACAUUGGGACUGAGAUACGGCCCAGACUCCUACGGGAGGCAGCAGUGGGGAAUAUUGCUCAAUGGGCGCAAGCCUGAUGCAGCGACGCCGCGUGGGGGAUGACGGCCUUCGGGUUGUAAACUCCUUUCGCUAGGGACGAAGCGUUUUGUGACGGUACCUGGAGAAGAAGCACCGGCUAACUACGUG